UGGGGAAUAUUGCACAAUGGGCGAAAGCCUGAUGCAGCAACGCCGCGUGAGUGAUGAAGGCCUUCGGGUUGUAAAGCUCUGUCUUUUGGGACGAUAAUGACGGUACCAAAGGAGGAAGCCACGGCUAACUACGUGCCAGCAGCCGCGGUAAUACGUAGGUGGCAAGCGUUGUACGGAUUUACUGGGCGUAAAGGAUGCGUAGGCGGAUUUUUAAGUGAGAUGUGAAAACCCUAAGCUUAACUUGGGGACUGCAUUUCAUACUGGGAAAAUCUAGAGUGCGGGAGAGGAGAAUGGAAUUCCUAGUGUAGCGGUGAAAUGCGUAGAGAUUAGGAAGAACACCAGUGGCGAAGGCGAUUCUCUGGACCGUAACUGACGCUGAGGCAUGAAAAGCGUGGGUAGCAAAACAGGAUUAGAUACCCUGGUAGUCCACGCCGUAAACGAUGAGUACUAGGUGUAGGAGGUAUCGACCCCUUCUGUGCCGCAGUUAACACAAUAAGUACUCCGCCUGGGAAGUACGAUCGC
This 522-nucleotide ribosomal RNA is filed under the name uncultured bacterium. Its description in RNAcentral is "partial 16S ribosomal RNA". It matches the Rfam family "Bacterial small subunit ribosomal RNA", at positions 355 to 889 of the family's 1533-position model. The record is from RNAcentral.